This 305-nucleotide ribosomal RNA is filed under the name uncultured bacterium. RNAcentral's name for it is "bacterial SSU rRNA". It matches the Rfam family "Bacterial small subunit ribosomal RNA", at positions 335 to 638 of the family's 1533-position model. The record is from RNAcentral.
UUUCCUACGGAGGCAGCAGUGAGGAAUAUUGGUCAAUGGACGCAAGUCUGAACCAGCCAUGCCGCGUGCAGGAAGACGGCUCUAUGAGUUGUAAACUGCUUUUGUACGAGGGUAAACGCAGAUACGUGUAUCUGUCUGAAAGUAUCGUACGAAUAAGGAUCGGCUAACUCCGUGCCAGCAGCCGCGGUAAUACGGAGGAUUCAAGCGUUAUCCGGAUUUAUUGGGUUUAAAGGGUGCGUAGGCGGUCGGAUAAGUUAGAGGUGAAAUCCCGAGGCUCAACUUCGGGGCUGCCGCUAAUACUGUAG